GGAGAGGAGACAAUUGGGAAUUGAGGGUAGGUGUAGGGUUGUUAGGGGUAUUACAACGCUUUGCUCGUAACUCUGAUGUGAGUUUGUCUAUUAUUGGUGACAUUUGUGAGUUUGUAGAGAUUAAUAAAUAAUCUUUUUAUAAUAGUAACUGAUCUACAAAUUUCACUAUACAAUUUAUGAGGAUAUACAACUUUUGUCCUGUUAUCAGGAUCCC
Molecule: long non-coding RNA, 214 nt
Filed under: Glycine max (soybean)
Lineage: Eukaryota; Viridiplantae; Streptophyta; Magnoliopsida; Fabales; Fabaceae
Description: long non-coding RNA (GMAX_LNC000403)
Source: RNAcentral